GCUGUCCUUCAUGACAACAGAACCCACAACAACCAUGACUUUUAUCACCAUCUUCAUCUGGACACUUGCCCUCUGCUUCAAGGAAUCCAGAGGACAGUACACUGUGACUCAGACUCCUGCAGUGAAAGCUGUUCUCCCAGGACAGCCAGUCUCUCUGAACUGUAAAACCAGCAGUAAUGUGUAUGGAGAUUGUUACAAUGGUCAGUCAUGGGGCCAUCUGUGUCUAUCCUGGUACCAACAGAAACCUGGAGAAAACCCCAAACUCAUGAUGCUCCCAGGGAACACACUCCAUUCUGGGACUCCUUCUAGAUUCAGUGGCAGUGGAUCUGGGAGUGACUUCACUCUGACCAUCAGUGGAGUUCAGGCUGAAGAUGCAGGAGAUUACUACUGUCAGAGUGUACACGUCAUCAAUAGUAAACAUGUGUUCACACAGUGAUACAGAGCCGUACAAACAACCUCCUUCAGUCAGACUGCACAGUGACUGUACUGCUACAGCUGGGACCUACUGCAGGUGCUGAGGGGGAAGAGACAGUGACAUGGAACACUGGUUAGUGAAGUCAACUUUGAAUAUGUUUAGAAAGCAUCAUUCAGAUCACAUGUUCCCCAUCAUCAUCAUCAUCAUCAUCAUCAUCAUCAUUAUCAUCAUCAUC
Non-coding RNA from Coregonus clupeaformis (lake whitefish), 650 nucleotides. The record is from the annotation of a RefSeq genome assembly. NCBI's taxonomy places the organism in Eukaryota, Metazoa, Chordata, Actinopteri, Salmoniformes, Salmonidae.